CUGGCGGCGUGCCUAACACAUGCAAGUCGAGCGAGGAGAUCCUCGGGAUGAUCCUAGCGGCGGACGGGUGAGUAACACGUGGGCAACCUGCCUCAUAGAGAGGAAUAGCCUUCCGAAAGGGAGAUUAAUACCUCAUAACAUUGCAGUUUCGCAUGGAACAGCAAUUAAAGGAGCAAUCCACUAUGAGAUGGGCCCGCGGCGCAUUAGCUAGUUGGUGAGGUAACGGCUCACCAAGGCGACGAUGCGUAGCCGACCUGAGAGGGUGAUCGGCCACAUUGGGACUGAGACACGGCCCAGACUCCUACGGGAGGCAGCAGUGGGGAAUAUUGCACAAUGGGGGAAACCCUGAUGCCAGCAACGCCGCGUGAGUGAUGACGGCCUUCGGGUUGUAAAGCUCUGUCUUCAGGGACGAUAAUGACGGUACCUGAGGAGGAAGCCACGGCUAACUACGUGCCAGCCGCGGC
RNAcentral lists this ribosomal RNA (464 nucleotides) under uncultured bacterium. RNAcentral describes it as "bacterial SSU rRNA". It matches the Rfam family "Bacterial small subunit ribosomal RNA", at positions 36 to 518 of the family's 1533-position model. The record is from RNAcentral.